Molecule: long non-coding RNA, 199 nt
Filed under: Trifolium pratense (red clover)
Lineage: Eukaryota; Viridiplantae; Streptophyta; Magnoliopsida; Fabales; Fabaceae
Description: long non-coding RNA (TPRA_LNC009511)
Source: RNAcentral
UUCAGGUACUUUGACUACUGCAGAGUGGACUUUCCUUUUUCAGCUAACAAAACUGAAGACCCACGUUCUCAAGAUAGGACAGACAAAACAGAGGUAGCUGAGCUGAUCAGACUUGAAAGGUCCUUUUCUCCAUUGGUAGAAGAGUUGACUAGCAAAGGGAAUCUUCACAGCUUUCAAAGAGUUCUUCAGAGUUUGAUGA